GAUGAACGCUGGCGGCGUGCCUAAUACAUGCAAGUCGAGCGAACAGACGCGGCGCUUGCUCCUCUGACGUUAGCCGCGGACGUGUGAGUAACACGUGGAUAACCUACCUAUCAUUCUGGGAUAACUUCGGGACACCGGAGCUAAUACCGGAUAAUAUCUUGAACCGCGUGGUUCAAUGGUGAGAUACGGCUUUGCUGUCUCUUCUAGAUGGAUCCGCGCCGCAUUAGCUAGUUGGGAAGGUAACGGGCUACGAAGGGAACGAUGCGUAGCCGACCGGAGAGAGGGGUAGGCCGCACUGGAACGGGGACAGGGACAAGACGACUACGGGACGGAGCAGUAGGGAAUCGUCCGCAAUGGGCGAAAGCAUGACGGAGCAACGCCGCGUGAGAGAUGAAGGUGUUCGGAGCGGAAUACUCUGUUAUUAGGUAAGAACAAAUGUGGAAGUAACUAUGCACGUCGUGACGGUACCUAAUCAGAAAGCCACGGCUAACUACGUG
This 497-nucleotide ribosomal RNA is filed under the name uncultured bacterium. RNAcentral describes it as "partial 16S ribosomal RNA". It matches the Rfam family "Bacterial small subunit ribosomal RNA", at positions 28 to 507 of the family's 1533-position model. The record is from RNAcentral.